RNAcentral lists this transfer RNA (84 nucleotides) under Candidatus Woesearchaeota archaeon. RNAcentral's name for it is "tRNA-Leu". It matches the Rfam family "tRNA". Rfam says of the family: Transfer RNA (tRNA) molecules are approximately 80 nucleotides in length. Their secondary structure includes four short double-helical elements and three loops (D, anti-codon, and T loops). The record is from RNAcentral. Lineage: Archaea; Nanobdellati; Candidatus Woesearchaeota.
GCGGGGAUGCCGGAGCGGUCAAACGGGACAGGCUUAGGACCUGUUGGCUUAGUGCCUACGUGGGUUCAAAUCCUACUCCCCGCA